RNAcentral lists this ribosomal RNA (468 nucleotides) under uncultured bacterium. RNAcentral's name for it is "partial 16S ribosomal RNA". It matches the Rfam family "Bacterial small subunit ribosomal RNA", at positions 28 to 507 of the family's 1533-position model. The record is from RNAcentral.
GACGAACGCUGGCGGCGUGCUUAACACAUGCAAGUCGAACGGAAAGGCCCUGCUUUCGUGGGGUGCUCGAGGGGCGAACGGGUGAGUAACACGUGAGUAACCUGCCCUUGACUUUGGGAUAACUUCAGGAAACUGGGGCUAAUACCGGAUAGGAGCUCCUGCUGCAUGGUGGGGGUUGGAAAGUUUCGGCGGUUGGGGAUGGACUCGCGGCUUAUCAGCUUGUUGGUGGGGUAGUGGCUUACCAAGGCUUUGGCGGGUAGCCGGCCUGAGAGGGUGACCGGCCACAUUGGGACUGAGGUACGGCCCAGACUCCUACGGUAGGCAGCAGGGCGGAAUCUUGCACCAUGGGCGGCAGCCUGAUGCAGCAGCGCCGCGUGCGGGAUGACGGCCUUCGGGUUGUAGACCGCUUUCGCCUGAGACGAAGCGUGAGUGACGGUAAUGGGUAGAGAAGGCCCGGCUAACUACGUG